This 460-nucleotide ribosomal RNA is filed under the name uncultured bacterium. RNAcentral's name for it is "partial 16S ribosomal RNA". It matches the Rfam family "Bacterial small subunit ribosomal RNA", at positions 338 to 795 of the family's 1533-position model. The record is from RNAcentral.
CCUACGGGUGGCAGCAGUGAGGAAUAUUGGUCAAUGGACGCGAGUCUGAACCAGCCAUGCCGCGUGCAGGAUGACUGCUCUAUGGGUUGUAAACUUCUUUUAUACAAGAGUAAACCGAGAUACGUGUGCCUUUUUGCAUGUAUUUUAUGAAUAAGGAUCGGCUAACUCCGUGCCAGCAGCCGCGGUAAUACGGAGGAUCCGAGCGUUAUCCGGAUUUAUUGGGUUUAAAGGGAGCGUAGGUGGUAUGUUAAUUUAGGGGUGAAAUUCUGAGGCUCAACUUCAGAAUUGCCAGUGAUACUGGCAGGCUAGAGUGUAGUUGAGGUAGGCGGAAUGCGUGGUGUAGCGGUGAAAUGCUUAGAGAUCAUGAAGAACACCGAUUGCGAAGGCAGCUUACCAAGCUAUUACUGACGUUGAGGCACGAAAGCGUGGGGAGCAAACAGGAUUAGAUACCCGAGUAGUC